Molecule: small RNA, 190 nt
Filed under: Arabidopsis thaliana (thale cress)
Lineage: Eukaryota; Viridiplantae; Streptophyta; Magnoliopsida; Brassicales; Brassicaceae
Description: ATSL168840
Source: RNAcentral
UCAUUCAUUAAUUCCGUAGAGUUUUAGGGAUUGAUUUGUGCAAUUUAUUAGGGUAGUAGUUAACAAUAUCUAUGUUUAGGCAAGUAAUUAGUGCAAUAUCUUAAUUGUUAAUAAAAAAUUUGGUCAUUGUUCUAAAGAAAAUAUCUUGUCUGAUUGAUUUUGUAGGGACUAAACAUACAAUAUCAAAAUU